This 466-nucleotide long non-coding RNA is filed under the name Trifolium pratense (red clover). RNAcentral describes it as "long non-coding RNA (TPRA_LNC002958)". The record is from RNAcentral. Lineage: Eukaryota; Viridiplantae; Streptophyta; Magnoliopsida; Fabales; Fabaceae.
AUAAUAUUACAAUCAUAAAUACAAGAGCUAAUUAAAAAUUGUGAAGUUUACACAUGAAUUGACUUAAAAAUAGGACAAAUGUCGUGAUGAAAAAUAUUCAAAAAGACCAAAACUUACUGAAUUUUUUUAACGAGAUUAAAAUUGAAAUAUAGUAUAUUUAUAAGGUCUGAAAACUUAUUUAACCCUUAGGGCAUGUUUGGUUCGAGGUAGAUAUAGAGGAGGGGAGGGGAGAUGAGGGGGUAAUCUUGACAAAAACAAAAUUUUUGAGUAAACAGUCACUUUCGUCCCUGAAAGUGUCGCUCGCUGUCAUCAACAAAUCCAUCCCCAAAUAAAGAAAACCUACCCAGAAUUCAUCACCAAAAUUCAUCCUCACCCACCAACCACACAUAAGAAAAUGUGAAGAACAUUGCUAUGCAUCUGAAGGUAAAAAAAAAAUGUCAUACUAGAAUUUCACUUUCCAAUNNNN